CUUUAAUAUCUUGUAACGUUUCUAAUCCCUGUCUUCCACAUCGUUCAUCCACCAGCCUGACCAGACCCUCACCUGAAAAUCAGUCUGUUCAGGAUUCCACAGUUUUUUUUCUGCUUGUUGCGGCCAUAAAUAUUUGAUAUUGCUGCGUGUUUUUUCAAAAUUUGCAAUAGCUUUUUUUAUGCUUUUUCUCCUUGCCCCCCCACCCCAACCUCGAAAACUACUUGAAUUGGCUGUUUGUGAUGUUUGUUGGUAAAUGAGACCUUUUUCACUUUACUCAUGUUCUACGCACGUGAAUCGAGGAGAGCUUCGGCUGAAUCUGCUGUGUGAUGACGUCGCAAGCUCCUCGGAAUAUUGCAGAGUUUGCUUGAUUUUGUGUUCAUUUCUGCCAUCGCAAAAUCCGGGAGCUACAGUAAGAUAUUUUUCCGGAUUUGGUACUUUGAAGACUUCGUUAUCCUAAGAAAUUGGUGGAAGACCAUACUGUAAGACCAAACACGAAUAAAUUACUCCUGGAAGAAACACCGCUUCACCGAAAGGGAAAAGGAUGCAGGGUGUGAACCAGGCAUGUGUUUGAUGUGUGACAGCAUCCUCAGUGCUAACAGCCUUUUAUAUUAGAAUAGACAAGCUGAUGUCUAAUGAUGUAGUGUUUAGUAGAAACUUUGGGUUGAAAAUGCUCUAAAUGUCCUCUAAUCCUGUGUUCCUUCACAUCACCAGGUCAGAGCUCAUCUUCAGAUCACUGAGCCAUCCGAUUAUUCUGUAUAAAAGGGAUUAUUUAUAGGUGUUUAACUUUACAUCACACACAAAGUAUGUGAUUAAAAAAAAAUAAUAUAAUAAUAAAAAAAAAAUAAAAUCUUUAUUUAAAAAAUAGAAUUGCUUGAAGACUUGAACCGUAAUCCUUAUGCUAAAGCAC
This is a long non-coding RNA of Ictalurus punctatus (channel catfish), 907 nucleotides long. The record is from Ensembl. Lineage: Eukaryota; Metazoa; Chordata; Actinopteri; Siluriformes; Ictaluridae.